UUUCCGUAGGUGAACCUGCGGAAGGAUCAUUAAAGAACGCCCAGUUUUUUGAAAUGGGUAAUUCUAAACCGUGUAUACAUACCUUUGUUGCUUUGGCAGGCCGCCCCUCAGGGCGUCGGCUCCGGCUGACUGCGCCUGCCAGAGGACCCAAACUCUUUUGUUUAGUGAUGUCUGAGUACUAUAUAAUAGUUAAAACUUUCAACAACGGAUCUCUUGGUUCUG
This 222-nucleotide unclassified non-coding RNA is filed under the name plant metagenome. RNAcentral's name for it is "partial contains small subunit ribosomal RNA, internal transcribed spacer 1, and 5.8S ribosomal RNA". The record is from RNAcentral.